RNAcentral lists this unclassified non-coding RNA (404 nucleotides) under soil metagenome. RNAcentral's name for it is "partial contains 5.8S ribosomal RNA, internal transcribed spacer 2, and large subunit ribosomal RNA". The stretch from base 1 to 121 matches the Rfam family "5.8S ribosomal RNA", at positions 35 to 154 of the family's 154-position model. The record is from RNAcentral.
GAUGAAGAACGUAGCGAAAUGCGAUAAGUAAUGUGAAUUGCAGAAUUCAGUGAAUCAUCGAAUCUUUGAACGCACCUUGCGCCCUUUGGACAUUCCGAAGGGCAUGCCUGUUUGAGUAUCAUGAACACCUCAACUCUCACGGCUUGUCCGUGAUGAGCUUGGACUUUGGGGGUCUUGCCGGCCUGUGGUCGGCUCCUCUCAAAUGGAUCAGCUUGCCAGUGUUUGGUGGCAUCACAGGUGUGAUAACUAUCUGCGCUUGUGGUUUUCCAUCAGAUAACCUUCAGUGAUAUGGAGGUUCGCUGGAGCUCACAAAUGUCUCUCCUUAGUGAGGACAGCUCUUUGAACGUUUGAUCUCAAAUCAGGUAGGACUACCCGCUGAACUUAAGCAUAUCAAUAACGGAGGA